AGCGAACGCUGGCGGCAGGCCUAACACAUGCAAGUCGAACGAACCUUUCGGGGUUAGUGGCGGACGGGUGAGUAACACGUGGGAACGUGCCUUUAGGUUCGGAAUAACUCAGGGAAACCUGUGCUAAUACCGAAUGUGCCCUUCGGGGGAAAGAUUUAUCGCCUUUAGAGCGGCCCGCGUCUGAUUAGCUAGUUGGUUGAGGUAAUGGCUCACCAAGGCGACGAUCAGUAGCUGGUCUGAGAGGAUGAUCAGCCACAUUGGGACUGAGACACGGCCCAAACUCCUACGGGAAGCAGCAGUGGGGAAUCUUGCGCAAUGGGCGAAAGCCUGACGCAGCCAUGCCGCGUGAAUGAUGAAGGUCUUAGGAUUGUAAAAUUCUUUCACCGGGGACGAUAAUGACGGUACCCGGAGAAGAAGCCCCGGCUAACUUCGUG
This 434-nucleotide ribosomal RNA is filed under the name uncultured bacterium. Its description in RNAcentral is "partial 16S ribosomal RNA". It matches the Rfam family "Bacterial small subunit ribosomal RNA", at positions 29 to 507 of the family's 1533-position model. The record is from RNAcentral.